GUCGGUCCUCGACAGUGGCCUCCGCAAUACGAUGUGCGUGGGCUUCGAUCGAAGGCCGCC
Molecule: non-coding RNA, 60 nt
Organism: Brevibacterium yomogidense
Lineage: Bacteria; Bacillati; Actinomycetota; Actinomycetes; Micrococcales; Brevibacteriaceae
Source: Rfam